Molecule: ribosomal RNA, 425 nt
Filed under: uncultured bacterium
Lineage: Bacteria
Description: partial 16S ribosomal RNA
Rfam family: Bacterial small subunit ribosomal RNA
Source: RNAcentral
GAAUUUUGGACAAUGGGCGAAAGCCUGAUCCAGCAAUGCCGCGUGCAGGAUGAAGGCCUUCGGGUUGUAAACUGCUUUUGUACGGAACGAAAAGCUUUGGGUUAAUACCCUGGAGUCAUGACGGUACCGUAAGACUAAGCACCGGCUAACUACGUGCCAGCCGCCGCGGUAAUACGUAGGGGGCGAGCGUUGUCCGGAAUUAUUGGGCGUAAAGGGUUCGCAGGCGGUUUUGUAAGACAGAGGUGAAAUCCUCGGGCUCAACCUGGGAACUGCCUUUGUGACUGCAAGGCUAGAGUACGGCAGAGGGGGGUGGAAUUCCGCGUGUAGCAGUGAAAUGCGUAGAUAUGCGGAGGAACACCGAUGGCGAAGGCAACCCCCUGGGCCUGUACUGACGCUCAUGCACGAAAGCGUGGGGAGCAAACAGG